CUGAUGCAGCGACGCCGCGUGAGGGAUGACGGCCUUCGGGUUGUAAACCUCUUUCAGCAGGGACGAAGCGCAAGUGACGGUACCUGCAGAAGAAGCACCGGCUAACUACGUGCCAGCAGCCGCGGUAAUACGUAGGGUGCAAGCGUUGUCCGGAAUUACUGGGCGUAAAGAGUUCGUAGGCGGUUUGUCGCGUCGUUUGUGAAAACCAGCAGCUCAACUGCUGGCUUGCAGGCGAUACGGGCAGACUUGAGUACUGCAGGGGAGACUGGAAUUCCUGGUGUAGCGGUGAAAUGCGCAGAUAUCAGGAGGAACACCGGUGGCGAAGGCGGGUCUCUGGGCAGUAACUGACGCUGAGGAACGAAAGCGUGGGUAGCGAACAGGAUUAGAUACCCUGGUAGUCCACGCCGUAAACGGUGGGCGCUAGGUGUGGGUUCCUUCCACGGAAUCCGUGCCGUAGCUAACGCAUUAAGCGCCC
This 475-nucleotide ribosomal RNA is filed under the name Rhodococcus sp. enrichment culture. RNAcentral describes it as "bacterial SSU rRNA". It matches the Rfam family "Bacterial small subunit ribosomal RNA", at positions 383 to 869 of the family's 1533-position model. Lineage: Bacteria; Bacillati; Actinomycetota; Actinomycetes; Mycobacteriales; Nocardiaceae. The record is from RNAcentral.